UACGGAGGAUGCGAGCGUUAUCCGGGUUUAUUGGGUUUAAAGGGUGCGUAGGCGGAUUUUUAAGUCAGCGGUAAAAUGUCCGGGCUCAACCCGGGCCGGCCGUUGAAACUGGGGAUCUUGAGUGGGCGAGAAGUAUGCGGAAUGCGUGGUGUAGCGGUGAAAUGCAUAGAUAUCACGCAGAACUCCGAUUGCGAAGGCAGCAUACCGGCGCCCGACUGACGCUGAGGCACGAAAGCGUGGGGAUCGAACAGG
This 252-nucleotide ribosomal RNA is filed under the name uncultured bacterium. RNAcentral's name for it is "partial 16S ribosomal RNA". It matches the Rfam family "Bacterial small subunit ribosomal RNA", at positions 524 to 776 of the family's 1533-position model. The record is from RNAcentral.